CUCUUUUGCAGGGGCCGUUCCUCGGGGCAUGACGCUGGCUCCUGCACAGAUCCUGCUCCUCUGUGGCCUUCCUGGGCUGCCCUCCCCUCCUCCGGGACUGCUCUGGACUGACAUUGCUCAGGUUCGGAUUCCCUCAAAGACUUUGGGAGACAAGACUUGGUCCCCCUUUUACAAACGAGGGAACGGAGGCUCUAGAACUGACUUCCUGAAAGGCUUGGAUCCAAAGCUCCCUCAGUUCAGCGGCCACGUCUAUUUCCCUCAGACACAGGGAUCCUUGAACCUGUGGGCUGUAUCUCCCCGCGGACUUGGAAGAAUCCCAAGAGAGUGGGGCUCCCACAGGCUGGAGUGCAAUGGUGUGAUCUCGGCUCACUGCAACCUCCACCUCCCAGGUUCAAGCUAUUCUCCUGCCUCAGCCUCCUGAGUAGCUGGGAUUACAGAUCCUGGUGGCUGUGGUCGGUAAUUCCAGCUUCGUGCUGGCUACAGGUGGAUGAUGCCCACCUGGCUGCCGAUGACCUCUGCACCAAGUGAGGCUGGGUCUCUGGAGCUGCCCCAGGGGCUGGACAAGCUGACCCUGGCCGGGGCCAACCUGGAGAUGCAGAUUGAGAACCUCAAGGAGGACCUGGUCUACCUGAAGAAGAACCACAAGCAGGAAAUGAACGUCCUUUGAGGUCAGGUGGAUGAGGAUGUCAGUGUGAAGAUGGACACUGUGCCUGGAGUGAACCUGAGCUGCAUCCUGAAUGAGAUGCGUGACCAGGACAAGACAUUGGUGGAGAAGAGCUGCAAGGAUGCCGAGGGCUGGUUCUUCAGCAUGGUGGGUGGCCGUGCGUAAGCAGGUGUGUACACGUGUGGGCACAUGUGCUGCAUGCUGGUGCAGCUGGAGCACUGGCAGAUCCACAGGCUGUCCCAGUUGGAAGGACUUUUGGAAACCAGUUGGACCAGCCCCUCAUGUUUUAGAUGUAAAACGUGAGGCUCAGAGAGGACUCAAGCUCACACAGCCCUUCACUGUGGCCUGCAAAAUAGAUCCAGGUCUCUACAAGUCUGGUCUUGGGUUUCCACCACAGCUGUUUACAGGAUGUGCGUAUUUGAAUACAUAUGUAUACCCUUGGCAAGCACAGGCUGAGUAUCUCCGGUAUCCUAGGGACAGCAACAGGCGCAAAAGAAUAACACCCAGUGCCUGUCUUUGAGGUGCUGCAGUUCAGUAGGAAAAAGAAAUGCAAAUGACCGCAGAGCAGGCUGAAUUCCUCCAAGUUCCAAUGUGGGUGCAGAGGCUCUCUGUGUGCAGAAAGAGGGGCUGAACUGCGAGGUGGCCACCAACACAGAGGCCCUGCAGAGUGGCUGGAUAGAGAUAUGGAGCUCUACGUCUCUGUGCAGAACCUGAGCCGUCCCAGCUCAGCAAGAAAGCAUCGCUGGAGGGCAGCCUGGUGGAGAUGGAGGUGUGUUACAGGACCCUGCCGGCCCAGCUGCAGGGGCUUAACAGAAGCAUGGAGCAGCAGCUGUGCGAGCUCUGCUGCGACACGGAGCACCAGGACCACAAGCACAGGUCCUUCUGGACGUGAAGACGUGGCUGGAGCAGGAGAUCGCCACCUACCGCCGCUUGCUGGAGGUUGAGGACGCCCAGAGGUGAUACUGACGAUGCAGGCUGGAGUCUGGCUGAGGAGCCUUGAAUGCCAAGUUAAAGCGUCUGGACUAGAUCACGUAGGCAAUGGGGAGCCAUGGAGGGAUUUGGAGCAGGAGAGUGAAAUGAACAUCAAGAGAUUUUAGAACAUUCACUCUGGCUGCAGAGGGAGAAAUGGAUCAGAGGGGUCAGGGCGGGGCCAGAGAGAUGUGUCAGGGGGCUGGAGCAGGGAGUCUGGCCAGAGAAGUCCCGUGCGGUGGUGGGUAGUGGGGCAGGGGAAGGAAGGUGGUGCACGCAGAAGAGAGGUUAUAGCUCAAAACAGCGGGACUGGAUGCCUGGAUCUCGGGGUAAGCAUGGCUCACAGUCAGGACUCAGUAAGUGUCGGGAGAACACAUGAAGGAGCAGGCAUUGAUGGCCCUGGGUUUCUGGUUCUGAUGACUGUGUGAGUGGUGAAGAGCAAGGUGGGUGGUGGUUGGGUUUGCAGUUGGGAAGGGUGAUCAGGCCUUCAGCUGAGAGUGUCCCGGAGUCUCCAUGCUUAGUCACACGUUGCAGCUUUUUGCUCCCCGGAAAUGGUGAAGUCCAUCUAUAGUCUAACAACAGUCUCUCCUGCUUUAAUUGGGUCUAUUUGUUGGGCCCUCUGGGUUAUGGAAAAACCACUUGCUCAGCUUCUCCUUGUAAAUUCCUGGUGAGUAGCCACAGAGUGCCGCCAGACCUACUGCUGUGCUGUUUCUUUUUCUUCUUCCUGCUGUGCUGAACCCCUGCCCUUUCAUUCUUGGGCCUGCGCUAAUUUCUGUGCAUUCCCAACUGUGAUUUUUCACCAAUUUAGGGGAACCUCCUCUGCCAGGGCCUACUUCUCCCCAGCAGUGCUUGCAGGUGCCUGGGCUGGCUGGCAUCCCUGGGCUGAUGGGUGCUUCUCUCCCUGCAGGCUGGCCACUCAGUACUCCUUGUCCCUGGCCUCGCAGCCCACCCGGGAAGCCACAGUGACCAGCCACCAGGUGUGCCAUCGUGGAGGAAGUCCAGGUUGGAGAGGUGGUCUUCUUCUGUGAGCAGGUCCACUUCUCCACCCACUGAGACCCCUUUCUGUCUGCGACAGCCCCACCUCGAGGGCCACGGCACAGCCAUCAGCUCCAGCUCCCAGCAUGCUACUGCCACGCCCCGAGUGUCCGUCUGGGCCCCGGUGCAUGGCCUGUUGUCUUUCUGUAUCUACUUUCUGCAGCCCCUCACUGAGGAGGCCUCCUGGGUUUGUCCAGUGCCUACUAUUAAAGCUUUGCUCCAAGUUC
Molecule: long non-coding RNA, 2895 nt
Organism: Homo sapiens (human)
Lineage: Eukaryota; Metazoa; Chordata; Mammalia; Primates; Hominidae
Gene: KRT42P
Product: keratin 42, pseudogene
Source: Ensembl